This is a long non-coding RNA of Hemibagrus wyckioides, 5650 nucleotides long. RefSeq lists it as uncharacterized. The transcript is spliced from 3 exons. The record is from RefSeq and is a predicted model, not a curated record. Lineage: Eukaryota; Metazoa; Chordata; Actinopteri; Siluriformes; Bagridae.
AUAAGAUACUACAGAAAGGUCUCAGAAGGACAGUGAGGAGUUCUAGAAGACUGAUCAUCUACCUCCUUCAAAUUCCAGCGAGUUUUCCAGCAACAUAUCAGUGAUGGAACACCACCUGCUUGUACUACUGCUUUUCACAGGUGAGGAUUCCUACGAGCUGCACUCGGUGGAUGUGGAGCUGGAGGCCGUGGAGAAGCAGAUCCGCGACCUACAGGUGAAGCAGGCGACGCGGUGAUCAUCGGAGACUCCAUCAUCCAGCACGUCUGUGCUACCGCGGCUAAAGGUAAGGUGCGCACUCGUUGUUUUCCUGGUGCUCGUGUUCUUGAUGUCGCUGCACAGGUACCCGCGAUCCUCACCAAGAACAUCGGAGUUAUGGUCCUCCAUGCUGGCGUGCACGACAUCAGGCUGAGGCAGACGGAGAUCCUGAAGAAGGACUUCAGGAACCUGGUGGAGAAGGUUCGCACCACAUCGCCCCCGACGAGGAUUAUUGUGUCAGGACCACUUCCCACAUUCCAGCGAGGAAUCGAAAGGUUCAAUAGGCUAUUUGCAUUUAAUGAAUGGUUACAGUCUUGGUGUCAAGAACAGAAAAUACCAUUUGUUGAUAAUUGGAAUGUUUUCUGGGAGCACCCUAGGCUCUACCAUUAUGAUGGCCUGCACUCAAGCAGAGCUGGAGCAGCAGUCCUCUCAGACAACAUCUCCAGGACACUGCGCACCAUCUGACUGGUAAGUCAUUCCUCAGAUUACAUCUAUAAUAGCUACUGUUCAACUCACCAGACUAAUACAAGUUCACACAUAGCUCGUCCUAUAGAAACUGUGUCUGUUCCCCGAUUAGUGAGAUUAAAGGAUAAAUUUGUUAAUAACUCUCGAAAUAAUCUUAUCACAAUUAAACCUGAAAAAGGCCAAAUAGGUAAAGAAAAACAAUUUCUUAAGUUUGGACUUCUCAACAUUAGAUCCCUUGCACCGAAAGUACUUUUUAUUAAUGAAAUGAUCUCAGAUUAUAGUUUCGACACACUCUGUCUUACUGAAACCUGGCUUAGACCAAAUGAAUACAUUGGCCUAAAUGAGUCUACUCCGUCAGGAUAUUCAUAUAAGCAUGAGCCCCGUCAGACAGGUCGUGGUGGUGGUGUUGCAACCAUCUAUAAAAAUUCUCUUACUGUUACUCAGAAAACAGGAUCCAGGUUUAACUCAUUUGAAGUGCUUGUCCUUAAUGUUGCACUCUCAGACAUGCAUAAAAAAUCCCUACUCUAUCUUGCUCUGGCCACCGUGUACAGACCCCCCGGGGCCCUACGGUGAUUUUCUUAAUGAGUUUUCACAUUUACUCUCAGAUCUUUUGAUCAGUUUUGACAAAGUGUUAAUUGUAGGAGACUUUAACAUUCAUGUAGACGAUGCUAAUGAUGCAUUAGGACUCGCAUUUAUAGAUUUACUAAAUUCCUUUGGGGUUAAGCAAAACAUUAAUUGAACAACUCAUCGUUUUAAUCAAACCCUAGACUUAGUUAUUAUUUACUUAGUUAUUACUUAGCUAUUUUCACCAGCACACUAGACACUGUUGCCCCCAUCCGACUAAAAAAGGUCAGAGACACCUGCACCAGGGUAUAAUAGUCAUACUCACGCCCUCAAGAGAGCAAUCUGUAACCUCGAGCGAAAGGGGAAAAAAUCCAAAUUAGAAGUUUUUAGAAUUGCGUAUAAAGACAGUCUGUCCAACUAUAGACAGGCUCUAAAAGCUGCUAGGGCUGAGCAUCUGAGCAAACUGAUAGAAAUAAACCAGAACAAUCCCAGAUUCUAAUUUAGUACAGUGGCUAAACUAACAAAACAUCAGAUUUCUGGAGAAAGUAUUUCAGCACAGUUUAGUAGUGAGGACUUUAUGAAUUUCUUCACUAAAAAAAUUGAUAGUAUCAGGAACAAAAUAUUGGAUGUUCAACCUCUGAUGGCAUCCAGUGAUCCAGACCAGCCUAUAGCUCCACACUUAAAGCUACAAUGCUUUACCAGCAUAGGGCAGGAAGAGCUAGUUUUCACCAACUAACUUAUCGCCACGGCUAAAUCAACAACAUGUUUGCUAGAUCCAAUUCCAACUAGAUUGCUGAAAGAAGUGAUACAUGCAGCUGGAGAGCCUCUUCUCAAUAUUAUUAACUCCUCAUUAUCUAGGUCAUGUCCUAAAAUCUCUUAAGUUAGCAGUUAUUAAGCCUCUUCUUAAGAAACCAAAACUAGACCCUGAUGAAAUAUCAAAUUACAGACCGAUUUCAAACCUUCCAUUUAUAUCAAAAAUAUUAGAAAAGGUGGUGUCAGCCCAAUUAUGCUCCUUCCUACAGGAAAACACCCUUGAAGAAUUUCAGUCGGGUUUUAGGCCCCAUCAUAGCACAGAAACUGCACUAGUUAAAAUCACAAAUGACUUGCUUUUAGCUUUGGACAAAGGCUGCAUCUCGAUUUUAGUCCUGCUUGAUCUUAGUGCUGCAUUCGACACUAUAGAUCAUAACAUUCUGUCGGAGAAACAUAACAUACCCAGCUUUGAAUUAUAUACCUAGCUUUAAAAGUAGCUUAAGAAAUAAUGUACUCAAUGCUCUAAGCUCUGACUUAGCAAUAUUCUGCCUAAAAGUAGUGUGUAUCUAUCAAGAAUUAUUUAGCCAUUGAUUAAGUAGUUGGCUUUGUUUAAUACAAGUCUAUAAUAAUCAGGUAUAACCUUUAUGACAAUCAUAGUCUUUAUAAUAAUCAUGCAGAAUUAUUAAUAGUAGCAUGCUAGCGUAAUAACCACACUGAGACUGGAAAUAGAAAAGAGAAGUUUAUUGGAACAUUAGGAGUUACAGCUCAGUCAGCCAGCCUAUCCAGUGGGAUCAGUGGGACCGGAGAGUUGUAGAAGACGGGAUCUCAGGUUCCUGAGGAGAAGUUGGAGAGUAAUCAGUGGGAGAAACUGGAGGUGAAUAGACAGGAGAAGAUUGGGGAAUAUCGUGAAUACUGUAAGGCAAAGGCGCAAAUCCAGGAGAACGUUGGGGAAUGUCAGGGGAACUAGGAGGUGAAGAAGAGUCAGAGGAAGAAUCAUCAGAGGAGAUCUCAACAGGGACAUCCUCAGUCUGGACGCCUUGAGAGGUGGUGCAUGUCCAAUACCAGUAGAAGGUCUGAGUAGACUGAUCACAGGUUGUGGGGUGAAAUUGGGUGCUCUGAUCAAGACAGAUGGUAUCUCUCAAGAUGUGGUGAGCGAGGUGAGGAGACUCAGGAAUAGAGGAUUCAGAUAGGUGUUCCAGGAAACCAGUAAGUUCAAUGGCCAGGCAGGACAGCUGAUACUGGCGAUAGCGUCGCAGAGCACUCCGGGGACCUCUCCGGAAGAUAGCGCGACGGGCUGACUGAGCUAGAAGGAAGAAUGGGAAAUGGGAAGAGAUGAGUGAAGUGCAUAUUGCGUGACUAUGUAAUCAACAAGAGAGAACAUGCACUAAGGCAAGAGGAAAACAGUGUGGGGAGUAGGCCAGGUUACUGUGACAUGACAGUGGUACGCGGCUAGGGGAGACAAUAGCAUUGGAAUACCAGUAACCAACAGCGAUGAAAAGAGGGAAGGAUAUGAGGCAGCAAAAUGGCAAGGCUUAUUUUAAAAUUAAAAAAUAAAACUUAGAUCAAGCAGGUAGAGAAAAGUCAGAAUGACAUAGAGGAAGAGAUCAGGAUACUUACACAUUGUUGUGGAGGGCGACAUGCGAGGUCAGGAUGAUCUGAGGAAGCAACUUGGGAGGUGGCGGUCAAAUGAAGUCGAUGAGGAAGUGGCGCUUAUAAGUAAGCGCUAUUUUUUUCUAAAAAUUGUUGACUUAGCCUAAAAAUAAGGGAAACUGGAGAGGAGGAAAAUUGACGUCAUCGAGGGGAGGAUGGUAUUAAUUUAGGGGCGGUAUCGGGACAAAUACAAAAAUAAUGUGAAAUGGUAAAAUGUAUGUAAAUUAAGGAAGGAGGGAUUAAAGUAGCCAUACACUGAAUAUAAUGGGAAAUUGCUGGAAAUAUUUAAAUUAGAGAAAAGGAGGCACCAUGGGGCACCUGGGGUAUAAGUAGAGGGGAACUUUUUGGGGUUUUCAGACCAGCUGCUCUCUUCAGAAAUGCAUGUUGUUGACUGCAUGGCUGAAUAACCUGCUUCUUCUCAUCUGCUGACUGAGAUCUCCUUUAUUUUGGCUAAGUUUUAUAGUUUGUUGAGUUCAUUGGGUAAGAUUAUGGAAAGCUAAGAGAAAUAGACAAUCUAAAAUUCCACCCUGUGAUAUGUCCACUCGGAGGGGGCUCUGAAUUCCAACAAUUCUCAUAGAUCGCUUACAAAAUCAGGGACAGGCAUUAAAAUGGUUUAGAUCCUACCUGUCUGAUCGAUACCACUUUGUAGACUUAAAUGGAGCACUGUCCAGUAUAGUGCCAGUGAAAUACGGGGUCCCACAAGGGAUGAAAUAUCUAAUUUGUCUAGACUAACUGAGUGUGUUAAAGAUAUUAGAGAUUGGGUGACCGAUAAUUUUUUAUUACUAAAUUCUGAUAAGACAGAGAUAUUACUUAUUGGCCCCAAAACCAGUACACAGAAGCUCUCGCAAUUCAGCUUACAUCUAGAAGGAUGCACUGUUGCUACUAGCUCAACAGUGAAAGACCUGGGCGUAAUAUUAGACAGCAACUUAUCCUUUGAAAAUCAUAUAUCCAACAUCACAAAAAUAGCCUUCUUCCAUCUUAGAACUAUUGCCAAGCUUAGGAACAUUUUAUCUGUAUCUGAUGCAGAAAAACUAGUUCAUGCAUUCAUGACCUCCAGACUGGACUACUGUAAUGCAUUACUAGGUGUUUGUCCUGCAUCUUCAAUAAACAAGCUACAGUUAGUCCAGAAUGCAGCCGCCAGAGUUCUUACCAGAUCAAGAAAAUUUGAACAUAUAACCCCAAUAUUAUCAUCCCUGCACUGGCUACCUGUGAAGUUUAGAAUUGACUAUAAAUUAGCUCUACUUAUGUACAAGGCUCUAAUCAGUUUAGCUCCCACCUAUCUCUCCAGUCUUCUAACACAUUACAAUCCAUCACGUUCUUUAAGAUUGCAAAAUUCUGGACUUCUAGUAGUUCCCAGAAUAUCAAAGUCCACAAAAGGGGGUAGAGUGUUUUUGUAUUUAGCUCCAAAACUUUGGAAUAGUCUUCCUGACAGUGUUCUGGGCUCAGACACAGUUUCCCAGUUUAAAUGUAGACCAAAGACUUAUCUCUUUAGCUUGGCAUACAUCUAACACAUCCCAUAACCUUGUGCUCCAGUACAUCUGAUUAAAUGUACAUUAUCAUCUAGUGCUGCUAAUAUUAUGAACAGCAGCUACGCUAAUGCUGUUCCAUUGUUUCCUUUCUUCUACCCAUCCCGAGGCAUACAGAGACUGUGCUCCAGUGGCAUCCGGAGAUGGACCAGCUCCAGCCGGGUUCUGCUUGUGAGGAUUGGGAUAUUCAAGCAGCGCUGUGGACAACAACCUCCUUAUUGAUUUACAUAACACUAUACACAUGCUGUAUCUGCAUCACACAAUUGUCACCCAAAUGAGGAUGGGUUCCCUUUUGAGUUUGGAUCCUCUCAAGGUUUCUUCCUCUUACCAUCUAAGGGAGUUUUUCCUUGCCACAGUCGUCUCAGUCACCUCAGGCUUGCUCACUUGGGAUAACAUCUAGGACUGUCUGUCUGUUUAUAUGUUUGUUGUUUUCUUAUGUC